AUAUGGCGGGCGGAGCUACCAUGCAGUCGAGCGGUAACAGAUCCAGCUUGCUGGAUGCUGACGAGCGGCGGACGGGUGAGUAAUGCAUAGGAAUCUGCCCGAUAGUGGGGGAUAACCUGGGGAAACCCAGGCUAAUACCGCAUACGUCCUACGGGAGAAAGGGGGCUUCGGCUCCCGCUAUCGGAUGAGCCUAUGUCGGAUUAGCUAGUUGGUGAGGUAACGGCUCACCAAGGCCACGAUCCGUAGCUGGUCUGAGAGGAUGAUCAGCCACAUCGGGACUGAGACACGGCCCGAACUCCUACGGGAGGCAGCAGUGGGGAAUAUUGGACAAUGGGGGGAACCCUGAUCCAGCCAUGCCGCGUGUGUGAAGAAGGCCCUCGGGUUGUAAAGCACUUUCAGCGAGGAAGAACGCCUAGCGGUUAAUACCCGCUAGGAAAGACAUCACUCGCAGAAGAAGCACCGGCUAACUCCGUGCCAGCAGCCGCGGUAAUACGGAGGGUGCAAGCGUUAAUU
This 513-nucleotide ribosomal RNA is filed under the name Halomonas sp. Its description in RNAcentral is "bacterial SSU rRNA". It matches the Rfam family "Bacterial small subunit ribosomal RNA", at positions 37 to 537 of the family's 1533-position model. Lineage: Bacteria; Pseudomonadati; Pseudomonadota; Gammaproteobacteria; Oceanospirillales; Halomonadaceae. The record is from RNAcentral.